RNAcentral lists this long non-coding RNA (710 nucleotides) under Astyanax mexicanus (Mexican tetra). RNAcentral's name for it is "lncRNA (ENSAMXG00005015756.1)". Lineage: Eukaryota; Metazoa; Chordata; Actinopteri; Characiformes; Acestrorhamphidae. The record is from RNAcentral.
CAGCCCGACUGUCAAUAGGAACAUGAACUAGACGGAGCGCCUAAGGAUAUCGAUAGCACAGAGAUGAUAAUCGUCGUUCUGUUUUUAAUAGCUGGUGUUUUUCACCACAAUGGUCUGGCUUCAGAAGUUUCUGAAACUUCAGAGAACUAUGACUGUACUGAAGAAAAGCAAAACCUGAGGCCUCAGUUGUUAAAUGAUUUCACGGGUUGUGAGAAUACAUGGACCGUCGGGAGAACUACCAUAGCCAAAACUAUAAAUGACAGAGCGGAGUGCCACAGACCGUGCAGUGAAGUGACACCCAGCGGAAUCGUUCUCGACUCAUGUGUCAAUAUUACGCUCACUGUUUUUUGUACAAAGGAAUACACCUCGGAAUACCGGAUGCAUUUUAUUGGCAAGAUGAAUAUCCCUCCUCCAUUACAGGAUUCCAAGGGCAGAGCUUGUUAUGGUCUCUUGGCGUGUCCUGCAUUAUUGCUCCCAGUGGCUCUGGGUUGGAUUUUGCAGCGCCGCAGAUCUUCUCUCAAUCAUGAAAGAAGAAACGCUGGUCUGAGCGAAGUUUAAUACAUGCCAACCAACAUUAAUUACACUAUGAAUGUUUAUUUAGAGAUGAAUAUCUAUAAUAAUCUAAAUAAUUCCUAACUUAUGGAUACUUUGUACUGUAAAGUAGCUGUGCAAGUUUACAGAAAUACAGUAUAUAAAAUAACAGAUUUAAU